Molecule: transfer RNA, 72 nt
Filed under: Camelus bactrianus (Bactrian camel)
Lineage: Eukaryota; Metazoa; Chordata; Mammalia; Artiodactyla; Camelidae
Also listed under: 2 other names
Rfam family: tRNA
About the family: Transfer RNA (tRNA) molecules are approximately 80 nucleotides in length. Their secondary structure includes four short double-helical elements and three loops (D, anti-codon, and T loops).
Source: Rfam by way of RNAcentral
GAGGGUAGAGCUCAGUGGUAGCGUGCGUGCUUAGAGUGCCUGAGGUCCUGGGUUCAAUCCCCAGUACCCCUA